UGAAUGGAGGACCGAACCGACUUACGUUGAAAAGUGAGCGGAUGAACUGAGGGUAGCGGAGAAAUUCCAAUCGAACCUGGAGAUAGCUGGUUCUCUCCGAAAUAGCUUUAGGGCUAGCCUCAAGUGAUGAUUAUUGGAGGUAGAGCACUGUUUGGACGAGGGGCCCCUCUCGGGUUACCGAAUUCAGACAAACUCCGAAUGCCAAUUAAUUUAACUUGGGAGUCAGAACAUGGGUGAUAAGGUCCGUGUUCGAAAGGGAAACAGCCCAGACCACCAGCUAAGGUCCCAAAAUAUAUGUUAAGUGGAAAAGGAUGUGGCGUUGCCCAGACAACUAGGAUGUUGGCUUAGAAGCAGCCAUCAUUUAAAGAGUGCGUAAUAGCUCACUAGUCGAGUGACACUGCGCCGAAAAUGUACCGGGGCUAAACAUAUUACCGAAGCUGUGGAUUGUCCUUUGGACAAUGGUAGGAGAGCGUUCUAAGGGCGUUGAAGCAUGAUCGUAAGGACAUGUGGAGCGCUUAGAAGUGAGAAUGCCGGUGUGAGUAGCGAAAGACGGGUGAGAAUCCCGUCCACCGAUUGACUGAGGUUUCCAGAGGAAGGCUCGUCCGCUCUGGGUUAGUCGGGUCCUAAGCUGAGGCCGACAGGCGUAGGCGAUGGAUAACAGGUUGAUAUUCCUGUACCACCUAUAAUCGUUUUAAUCGAUGGGGGGACGCAGUAGGAUAGGCGAAGCGUGCGAUUGGAUUGCACGUCUAA
Molecule: ribosomal RNA, 750 nt
Filed under: Escherichia coli
Lineage: Bacteria; Pseudomonadati; Pseudomonadota; Gammaproteobacteria; Enterobacterales; Enterobacteriaceae
Description: partial 23S ribosomal RNA
Rfam family: Bacterial large subunit ribosomal RNA
Source: RNAcentral